Molecule: non-coding RNA, 2173 nt
Organism: Arachis ipaensis
Lineage: Eukaryota; Viridiplantae; Streptophyta; Magnoliopsida; Fabales; Fabaceae
Source: RefSeq, a predicted model, not a curated record
AGAGCCAUCGAUUUUUAUCAACAAAAAAAUCACUCCCGCAUUUGGCUUCCCGCGUCCCUCGUUCACUCAUUUCCCCAAAAUUUAACCCCAAACCUUCAUAGAAUCAGAGUUCAGACUUCAAAGCGAGGCUUCUUCUUCUCCUCCAACGCUUGAGAAUAGAAAUCAGAGACGGAAUCACAGUCACGUAGAGAGGCAGAGAGCAGAGCUUCUUCUUCUCCGACGCCUGAGAAAACCCGCCGUCCUCUGCCUGAGCGCAGAGUGUCGUCUUCUUCUUCUUCUCCUCCGCCUGAUAGCAGAGCUGCUUCUUCUUUUUCUCCUCCUCCUCCUCCUCCGCCGAACCCGCUGUCGCGCCAUCCUUUUCAUUUCUUCUUCUUCCACAGACUCAUCGUUGCAAUGUCUUUGCCGAUCGCCGUCCCUGUGAGACCGAUGCCAGAGCAUGUCGCCGUCGCAGCUUCUUUCAUUGUGGUGUGUUUCUAUUGGCAAUCCAUGAUACUGUGUUAGAUGGCACUUUAUUGUACCAUAUCCCAAGGUAACGGUUCUUGGAACUUUCUGGAAUACUUAAGAAUCCAACUGCAAAGGUUCCACUGGCUGAAACUAUGGUGUCACCAUUAGUGAGGGACCGUGUAAUACUAAUGCUUUCUAUGACAGUGGAAACGGCUAUAUCAUGAAACAAUAAGAAGCACAACAGAAGAAAGAUGAACUUUUUCAUUAUUUUGUUUUGCUUUAUUAUUAUUGUAGGUAACUUGGUAAUAGUGCUCUUUUUUAGAGGAAUAGUAGAUAAAGAACUAGAGUAGAUGCAACCACACAAUAGUUGACAUUCUUAGUCUAUAGCGGAUGUUGGAAUCUUCCAUCUCAAAAAUACAAAUAAGUAUGGGAAAAUAUGAAAGAUUAAGCAAAAGCCAAGAAAUAGUGUUGAAGCAAGAAUAUGGGACACAAGAAUGUUUCAACAAUAACAAUAUAUCUUAAUUGAAAUUGAAAAGUAGGCAUGGCUUGUGAUUAUAACCGUUGAGCAAUGACUUUUUUGUAUCCACAAAAUGAUUGAUUCCUCGCUGAUUUUGUUCUAGUUAGGCUCCAUCUGGCUUUCGGUUCCUAGCUUAUCUUGCGUUGGUAUGUAAGACCCCACAUCAUUGUAUGUUGUAAGAUAUUGGAUGCUCAGUUUAUUAUCUUUUUUCUUUCAUGGAUAUUUGUUAUAUAUUUAAGUUAGCUUGAAGUUCAAUAAAAAAUAUCAUGUUGUUAAUUAGUAAAUGACUGUUUGUGCAAAACUAAAUUAUAUUUUAAAAUUUAAAUCCUUUUUUAUGCUGACUUACCAGACUGAAUUGCACUGCAAUGUUCAUGAAAUAGUUAACAAACAAUUAUCAGACAGAGGAGAAAAUAGUGAAGUAAGAGGUUUUUUUAGUUGAUCAAUUUGCAUGAUACUAGUUAUAUAUAAGGAUAAUGGUAUUGGAUACUAUCAUGCCUUCCUUUUCUUUCCUUGUAAAUAAUUUGUUAUCUUGUUUCCUUGAAGUUGAAACUUCUCUUUUUGUUUCUGUUUUUUGUCUUUUUAAUAUAUCAUGCCCCAGCAAUGUUAGUAGUAUGAAUUGUGAUCUUAAGCAGGAGCUUGACAAGUUGAGGAAAAGGUUUGAGUUGACAGAAGCAGAGAAUGUUUAUCUGAAUAAGUCAAUUGAGAGAAUAGACAAAGAGUUGCAUGAAGCCACAGGCACAAGUUUCCAUUUAAGUCAUCAAAUUGAAAACUCAAAAUCUGGUUAAGAAGAAAGAAUCAGAACUGUUAGCAAUGGAGAAAAGGCUAAAGGCUAUUGAGGAGCUAAAGAUGGAACAAGAAGAAUCAAUAAUGAUCAAAAAAGAUAUGGACAGAAAGGUGUGAGGAUUAUGCAAUUUGCUUUUUGCUUUCAACCAGAAUGGCAUCACACAAUUACAUGGCAAGUGCCAAAUCUGUAUCUCUUUAUUGUAUAAGUUCAGGAGUUUCUCAAUCUGCCAUUGCUGCACUCUUUUGUAAAAUCAAUUUCGGCCAGAAGCAAUUCUCUACUUGCUGUUUCGGUCUCACUCAACCUUGUUUUAUUGACAAGUUCAGGAGGAUGACAUGGUCUGUUAGAAGUAGCUUAAACGACAGUAAUUUUAGUCUUUCCACUUCUAAUGGUACCAAUGGAAGAACACGCAACAUAUGAUUAGAGCGGUU